Molecule: ribosomal RNA, 358 nt
Filed under: uncultured bacterium
Lineage: Bacteria
Description: partial 16S ribosomal RNA
Rfam family: Bacterial small subunit ribosomal RNA
Source: RNAcentral
ACUACGGGUGGCAGCAGUGAGGAAUAUUGGUCAAUGGUCGGGAGACUGAACCAGCCAAGCCGCGUGAGGGAUGAAGGUACAGAGUAUCGUAAACCUCUAUUGUCAGGUAACAAAGGCGGGGACGUGUCCCCGGAUGAGUGUACCUGAAGAAAAAGCAUCGGCUAACUCCGUGCCAGCAGCCGGGGUAAUACGGAGGAGGGGAGCUUUAUCCGGAUUUCUGUGGUUUAACGGGUGCGCAGGUGAGCUGGUCAGUCAGCGGUUAAAGCACGGGGCUCAACCCCGGACCGACGUUGAAACUGGCAGUCUCGAGUUGGAGAGAAGUAUGCGGAAUGCGCGGUGUAGCGGUGAAAUGCAUAGA